Molecule: ribosomal RNA, 375 nt
Filed under: uncultured bacterium
Lineage: Bacteria
Description: bacterial SSU rRNA
Rfam family: Bacterial small subunit ribosomal RNA
Source: RNAcentral
UCGGGAAUUUUGGGCAAUGGGGGAAACCCUGACCCAGCAACGCCGCGUGAAGGAUGAAGUAUUUCGGUAUGUAAACUUCGAAAGAAUAGGAAGAAUAAAUGACGGUACUAUUUAUAAGGUCCGGCUAACUACGUGCCAGCAGCCGCGGUAAUACGUAGGGACCAAGCGUUGUUCGGAUUUACUGGGCGUAAAGGGCGCGUAGGCGGCAUGACAAGUCACUUGUGAAAUCUCUGGGCUUAACCCAGAACGGCCAAGUGAUACUGUCGCGCUAGAGUGCAGAAGGGGCAAUCGGAAUUCUUGGUGUAGCGGUGAAAUGCGUAGAUAUCAAGAGGAACACCUGAGGUGAAGACGGGUUGCGUGGGCUGACACUGACGC